UCGGUGCAACCUGGCAUCUGGACUAUAAUUCCCAAAAUGCCCCGGGAGCGGGCGCCCCUUAAGACGCGGUCUCCGCGGCCUGGCGGUGAUACUGGAGCGGUGCAGAAGUGGGGCUUCGAGUAUUUAAAUACAUCCGGUAAAGACGCCGGAGAUUAGUUUCCAAGCUGUAUGUCCCACUCCCUGGGGCCAUUUUAUCUGGCUUGGCCUCGGGGACCGAGGCACUCUGGGAAUUGUGGUUUCACACGGGUCCGGAUUGACACCUGAAGGACGCGGCUUAACUGCCUCGCCCCCAGUUGUGCUUGGGAGUUCCCCGACGUCACGGGAGCAGAGGUACAGUUGCUGCCCCUUAACCUACUGCUAUUUCAGCCAACAAUUGGAACUCCGAAGUUAGCGACCUGCUACUCUGGCAAUGACCAGGCUACUCAGGCUAUAGCCUGGAAGAAAUUCCUUUCCCACGGGUACUGGCUCUAUCACUGCUGCUAAAGAUGUGAGCACUGGGAGGUUUGUUCAGUGUGUGAAUGGAGAGAACUUGAGUCCUUCCUGUAAGCAACAUCACUUACUGCUUUGUACUCCCAAUAGGCCCCCUCACACGUGCAAGAUGUGGUAUAGUACAUCAGAACAAAGCCAGAGCCAGCCUUCAGCCAGACCGGCGACUUCAGCACUGUGAAGCAGAGGCAGGAGAAUCACUGCAAGUUCAAGCCAGCCCAGCCAGGGCUUCACAGGAGACCCUAUCUCAACCCCCCUCCCCAAAAGGUAAAAAGAUUAGCAAAAUGGGUGGAUCACCAAGUAAGUGUCUAGAAGCAUCUAUUUUUUUCUGAUUGUGUCAUUUGUCUUCCCCCACCCCUCCCCCACUUCCUGUGUCCUGCUGAGAUGAAUCUCUGAAUGGCAUAGUCUUUCUUUUUCUUUUUGAGAUUUAUUUAUCUUUAUUUUCUGUGUAUGAAUGUUUUUC
Mesocricetus auratus (golden hamster) is the source of this 949-nucleotide long non-coding RNA. RefSeq lists it as uncharacterized. The record is from RefSeq and is a predicted model, not a curated record. NCBI's taxonomy places the organism in Eukaryota, Metazoa, Chordata, Mammalia, Rodentia, Cricetidae. The transcript is spliced from 4 exons.